RNAcentral lists this unclassified non-coding RNA (1166 nucleotides) under Hevea brasiliensis (rubber tree). The record is from RNAcentral. Lineage: Eukaryota; Viridiplantae; Streptophyta; Magnoliopsida; Malpighiales; Euphorbiaceae.
AAAAAAAAAUAAAGUGUAAAAUUAAUUAUCAAAAGAAAAAACAUUAUUUUUUUUAUUCUAAUGUUGCCAUAAAAAACUCUCAAAACUGGUUGAAACCACAUUUUCUAAUCCUGUAAAUUCCAUAUUACUACUAAUAUAAUUAUCUUGUCCAAAAAAAUAUUCACAAUUUCCAUAAUUAUUAUCCCACCAUUCAUCUGAUUCAAAUAAACUCUGAGUUGAUUCAACCAAUUCGUAACUCGAUCCCAAUUUUGGCAGCUCCACUAUCUCACUCAACUGCCCCGUCGCCUCCGGAAUCAGCUCCGGAGGCGACGGUCUUGACUCCUCGUCGUCUUGAAACGACGACGAGGAGGAUGUAACGCCCGAAACUAACGACAGCGACGAUGACGAUGAGGUCAUCGUCGCCGCAGAGGUUUCGGGUAAUAUUGAGAAUUUUGGAUUUAGGUGAUCCAUGUGAGCGGCUUUUACGGCGGCGUUUUGGAUGUCACGUGGGGAGCACGUGACGGGUCGGGGCAGUAAAUGUGAAAAUUGGGGAAAAUUGAGUAUAGCUGAGGUACCUUUAAUGGACAUGGCGGCGACGUCGUGAGCACGCGCCGCCAUUUCCGGGGUAGCAAAGGUACCUAACCAAAUCCGUGAUUUUUUUUUAGGUUCACGGAUUUCGGAUACCCAUUUUCCCCAUGCUCUCAUUCGUACACCUACAUAAGAAACAACACUAGUACUGCUGCCAUUGUUGUUGUUUUUAUUCAUCUUCUUCGGAUUUGGAUUAUUAACGACCACGUCUUCUUCUUCUUCUACUUCCUCUUCACCUCUGCAUCUUUUGAGUCGAUUUUUUGAAUUGAUUUGUGGAAGUGGCUGAAGAAGAACGGAAGAUGGCGAUGAGGGCGACGAAGAAGAAGAAGAGUUGCAGCUAGAUUCAGUACUUUCUGAACAAUUUGGUUGCUCUGUAGACAUUAUUAUCAUGUAUGAAUUGUGUUGCUCUGUUUUUGUUACGUUUGCUCUGUUUUCUUCUCUCUCUUUUUUCGCGAAAAAACUAUGUCUGUAAAUUUGCGAAACUCUCAAUAAACUGAACGCAGUGUAUACACAGAGAUGUUGAAGAAAUGACGAGCUGCUCUGUUUUAGUGUGUGAAAAUAGAAUAUAGAGAGAGAGGGGAGAGGAGAGGAGGGAAGGU